This 72-nucleotide transfer RNA is filed under the name Camelus bactrianus (Bactrian camel). It matches the Rfam family "tRNA". From Rfam's summary of the family: Transfer RNA (tRNA) molecules are approximately 80 nucleotides in length. Their secondary structure includes four short double-helical elements and three loops (D, anti-codon, and T loops). Further hydrogen bonds mediate the characteristic L-shaped molecular structure. tRNAs have two regions of fundamental functional importance: the anti-codon, which is responsible for specific mRNA codon recognition, and the 3' end, to which the tRNAs corresponding amino acid is attached (by aminoacyl-tRNA synthetases). tRNAs cope with the degeneracy of the genetic code in two manners: having more than one tRNA (with a specific anti-codon) for a particular amino acid; and 'wobble' base-pairing, i.e. permitting non-standard base-pairing at the 3rd anti-codon position. The record is from Rfam by way of RNAcentral. RNAcentral also lists the same sequence under 2 other names. Lineage: Eukaryota; Metazoa; Chordata; Mammalia; Artiodactyla; Camelidae.
GGGGGCAUAGCUCAGUGGUAGAGCACGUGUUUGGCAUGCAUAAGGUCCUAGGUUCAAUCCCCAGUGCCUUUG